AGUUAAUAUUAGAAAUGAUUCUCCAAGAUGGAGUUGGGUCCGACAACUCAUCCAAGCUGCGUCCCUGAUCAACAUUGGGCUCGAGAGGUGAAAUGGCGUCGUUAAGAAUCAAACAAAAGCAAGAUACUCCUACAUGUCCCCGUGUCAAACAGUGUCAUGAGUAGCUGAUCCAAUCAUUGGCUCCCAUACCAGCAGAACCGAUUUUGAGUUGAUUUUUUUUUAAUCCAUCCCAUGCUCCUUCCUUAAAUUCGAUGAAGACAGUACAGAGGUCAAUCAAUCUCUCCACCUAGUUUGAUAAAAUCCAUAGUGAGCAACUUUAAGAUGUUGGCAUUACCAUUUCGUUUUCAGAAAACACUUUCGGUUUAGAUGAUAAACCUCUAAACCCAGGAUGAAGAAAAUGAGAGGGAUGUCAGGGGCUCUCAUAGUGGGGAUCACCGUGGGUGUGAUGAUUGGAGGGGUUUUGGGCGUAUGCGCUGUGUGUAUGUUGAUCAGGUACAGAAGCAAGUGUUCCCCAAAUUUGAGUCGGAGGGCCGCCACCGUCCCCAUCCGCGUAAAUGAUGUUGAUUCUUCUGCAAACUUAUCGGAAUUCUCUGUUGGCCGCUACUCCGACUCAUCACUGGGCCAGGUCUCAGCCAGAACGUCUGAAGGGAAUGCCAUGUCUGCGUGGGUGGACAUGGAGGGUCAUAAGAGGAAGAAUGCGGCCUCAGCUUUUGGAAUACCCAACUACUCUUACAGAGAGCUAGAGAAAGCCACUUGUAGCUUUACAACUCUGAUAGGGCAAGGGGCAUUUGGUCCUGUUUACAAAGCUCAGUUGUCAAAUGGUGAGACUGUGGCUGUUAAAGUUCUUGCCACUGACUCUAAGCAAGGGAAAAGGGAGUUCCAGGCAGAGAUUCUGUUACUAGGAAGAUUACACCAUAGAAAUCUUGUGAACUUAGUGGGAUACUGCACAGAUAAAGGACACCUUAUGCUUGUGUAUGUCUACAUGAGUAAUGGCAGUCUGGCUUCUCAUUUAUAUGGUCAAAAGCAUGAGCCACUAAGCUGGGAUUCAAGAGUUUCCAUAGCUCUCGAUGUUGCAAGGGGAAUGGAAUAUCUACAUUAUGGGGCAGCUCCUUCCAUACUCCACCGCGACAUCAAAUCUUCCAACAUACUGCUGGACCAAUCCAUGAGAGCCAGAGUGGCAGACUUUGGGCUUUCAAGAGAACAGAUUUUUAAAUCACAUGCAUCUAAUGUCAAGGGGACUUUUGGGUAUCUUGAUCCUGAAUAUCUGUCAACAAAAACCUUCACUAAGAAAAGUGAUGUUUAUAGUUUUGGCGUGCUGCUCUUUGAACUAAUUGCAGGCAGGAAUCCCCUACAGGGUCUCAUGGAACAUGUAGAACUUGCAACAAUAGGUACAGAAGAUGAAGUUGGGUGGGAGGAGAUUGUGGAUUCCAGUCUCAAUGGAAAAUUUGAUGUGGAAGAACUUAAUGAUAUUGCUUCUCUUGCUUACCAAUGUAUCAAUCAUCUCUCAAAAAAAAGACCUUCUAUGAGGGACAUUGUUCUAGCUCUAUCUAGGAUUCUCAAGCUGAACCACAGCAGGAAGCGUCACAAGGAGUCCAUGUCUGCUACAGAAGAGGAAAUCACCAUCGAAUUGCAGAAGUCAGAGACACGGGAUCCCACAGUAAUGGAAUUUCAAAAAAAGGUGGCUACUGACAUCACAACCCAAUCCGUUGAAAUAUGAUAAUGAUUUUACAAUCUUUCUUUUUUUUUCAUUUGGUUUAUUCCUUCUUCUGUUUCUUCUGUUUUGGUUCGUAUAGCAUAGUCACCAGGAGGCUACAAAGGGAAGCUUGUCUUCCCUGUUUUAAAAAAAAAAAUAACAAUUGUUUUUAUGUCUGAAUAUUUUUGUGACAAGGUCUCAUUUUUGUAUUGCUUCUCAUGUCUGCCAAGGAGAAUGAAACUGCCUUUCCCCUACUGUCAUCUCAGAUUUGUUUCAAUUUCCCAUGUGAAUGACCCCAUGUUGUAAAAGACGUUGUUGGAGUUUGUUCUCAUUCUGCUCAACAAACAUUCAAGUUAGUCAUUAGAGAGUUGAACUUUAUUUUAAAUGCAGCAAUUAGUAAAGCCUUUUGUGUGUUGUUCUUGUAACCUAAGCCAACCCCCAUAUCUUCCAAACACCCAUCUAUUGUGCUUAAAGAAACCCCAAUAGUAUUGCAGUUAGCUUUGUUUGGUAUCUGCUUUUCAUUGUCCAGGCUGUGAAAUGGGGCAAGGGUGCUGGUCAACGUAAAAUGGUGAUUUAAAGAGGUCAAGUUCCUGCAGAUUAGAGGAUGCGUGAUAGAGUUGGUUUUAAAUAAGAUUUAUGACUACAUGUCUAAUUGGGGAAAUAUACCGUGCACAAUAGAAACUGAAUGUCUCCUGUGCUGCAUAAAAUAGAUCAGGACCUCCAACUGGAAGUCCUAGCCUUUAUGCUGAGAGCAUCUGAUGAUGAUCUGGCUUCCAGUCGUACAUACCUACCACUCUGGCUAUACUUGUGGAUAAGAAUCAUAUCAGGAUUAGAUUUCAUGGCUCUCCUUAUAUUCCAACCCAGCUUCAGAUUUCAGAUGCAUAAAGCAACUGUCCCACAGGCCUGGGAGCUUGGCUCAUCCCUUCUCUCCUUCGCCAUCCUCAAUUUUAGCAUUUUUUUUUUCUUGUGUUUUUCCCUCCCCACCAACGCAUUGGAGGGAAGUGAUCAUAUUCCAGCUAUGCCCUGUAAAAGCAAUGUUAUGGAAUCUGGUUGGGCUUUCCAUUUGUGCAGGUGUGUCACUUGACAGUGCCAUAGCCUCAUUUUGCAAUGCCUUACAAGCUGAAAGAAAAUUGUGUUCAUUGCAAGUAGGAUGCAACCAGGCAUCCAUAGUGGAAACGAAUGCUGAACAAAUCCAUUCAGUGACAUCUUUCUCUUCUAUUACAGAAGUGCGAACCAUCAAGAGGACGACACGAACAUUACGGAAAGAAACAGUCAAAAGUCAGUGGCUGUAAAUCAUUCAGUUAUUUGAGUUGGCGAUUGUAGAUCGGUUAGCCAUUCUUUUCUGUAACUUAUCCUUGUUCAUGACCGAUUUUUCUUAAUUUACGCUAAAUUGAAAGGUUUUUGUAUCUUGGCCGAGAAGGCAAGAUCUAUGAUUUGAUCUUAACUGAGAAGGCAAGAUUAAAAUAUGUAAGUUGCUAUUACUUGGCAUUGCCAGGCCUGACCGUUAUUAUUUUAAUUGCUUUUGAUUUCUCA
Vitis vinifera (wine grape) is the source of this 3226-nucleotide RNA transcript. It is a transcript of the gene named calcium/calmodulin-regulated receptor-like kinase 1, with no coding region annotated. The record is from RefSeq and is a predicted model, not a curated record. Lineage: Eukaryota; Viridiplantae; Streptophyta; Magnoliopsida; Vitales; Vitaceae. The transcript is spliced from 8 exons.